RNAcentral lists this ribosomal RNA (710 nucleotides) under Diphtheroptila sp. 4 ex Glochidion zeylanicum/Glochidion lanceolatum. RNAcentral describes it as "SSU rRNA". It matches the Rfam family "Eukaryotic small subunit ribosomal RNA", at positions 486 to 1152 of the family's 1831-position model. Lineage: Eukaryota; Metazoa; Arthropoda; Insecta; Lepidoptera; Gracillariidae. The record is from RNAcentral. RNAcentral also lists the same sequence under 1 other name.
CGGGACUCUCACGAGGCCUCGUAAUCGGAAUGAGUACACUUUAAAUAUUUUAACGAGGAACAAUUGGAGGGCAAGUCUGGUGCCAGCAGCCGCGGUAAUUCCAGCUCCAAUAGCGUAUACUAAAUUUGUUGCGGUUAAAAAGCUCGUAGUUGCAUUUGUGCGCCGCGCUGUCGGUGCACCGCAUCCGCGGUGAUACUGACACGUUUGCGGAGCAUAUCGUCGGUGAGCCGCCGGUAAAACGGCGGUUCAAUAUCAAAAUCCUAUCGCGGUGCUCUUCAGUGAGUGUCGAGGUGGGCCGGCAAUUUUACUUUGAACAAAUUAGAGUGCUCAAAGCGGGCUCAAAACGCUGCUUGAAUAUUUCGUGCAUGGAAUAAUAGAAUAUGAUCUCGGUUCUAUUUUGUUGGUUUUCAGAACUCCGAGGUAAUGAUUAAUAGGGAUAACUGGGGGCAUUCGUAUUGCGACGUUAGAGGUGAAAUUCUUGGAUCGUCGCAAGACGAACAUCAGCGAAAGCAUUUGCCAAAGGUGUUUUCAUCAAUCAAGAACGAAAGUUAGAGGUUCGAAGGCGAUUAGAUACCGCCCUAGUUCUAACCGUAAAUAUGUCAUCUAGCGAUCCGCCGACGUUAAUCAAAUGGCUCGGCGGGCAGCUUCCGGGAAACCAAAGAUUUUGGACUCCGGGGGGAGUAUGGUUGCAAAGCUGAAACUUAAAGGAA